CAGCGAUCCGGCUGGUUUGGAGGAACGAAAAAUGCCGCCUGGGCAGACGGGGAGAGAAGGUGAGUGGGUGCCCGGCUCACGCGCGCGCUCUCCCGUCAUUGGUUGUGACGUCACGAGUAUCCGCUCUCUCCCUCUUUUCUCGUCCUCCUCUCUGGUUUCGGAGCUCAGGGUUGCCCUCCCGAAAAGGGAAAAAGCGAGAGUGGCCUCCGGGCGAAGUCACACCUUCCGUCGGAUUCGAUUGUGCAGCAGGCUCGGCGUCGAAACAUGGAAGCCCUGCUGCCCAGCCCGGCAUCGAGCGAGGAGAUGGUGUCUUCGGCUUACUACGGCCACCAGCUGGCCGCUGCGUGGUCGGCGACGCCUCUGUCAUCAUUGCCUGGAUUUUGUUCGAGCCAUGGAAACCGCGGUUUCAACCCGGAAACGCCAUCACCGGACAACUCUUCCAGUUGGGAGUCACAGCUCGAGUCUGACUCCCCAACCAGAGACGCCGUCAGGACGGUGGCUGACCUUGUUCCCGUGAAGGGUCCCUUCGUCGCCGCUGGCAUCGCAAGCAGUGACGUCGAUCCUGCCGCCGUCGUGGUUUCUUCUACGUCAGCGGCAUCCGGCUGUUCUGGCUCGCGCGAUGGUGUCAAGCCCGUUCCUUCGCACCGGGAGAAGCCGCCGCACCUUGUGGCCCGGAGGAAUGCCAGAGAGCGACGCAGAGUGCAGGCAGUGAACAACGCGUUCUGCAGGCUACGGAAGUGCGUGCCGGUCGAGAACAGGGCCAAGAGACUGUCAAAGGUCAAAACAUUGCACAAGGCAAUCGAGUACAUAUAUGCUCUUCAGGACCUUCUAGACCAAGCCGACGAAGAAGCUGGCGCUCCAGCGGUAGCAGUACCGAACAUGGCAGAGGUUGAAGAGAUACGCAAGAGUGAGCACUCAGUUAUGAAACAGAAAGGAAACGAACCACCCUGUGACCAACAACGCUGGAUCAAUCUCGAAAAUGUUGAUCGAGGCACAGAGAGUUACCAAGGCUUCGUCAACUUCUACGAACAGUUUCCAACAACGUAUGCAACCUGAAUGCACUGUGUACGAAGGGUGGAAUUCAAGUUGGUGGUGACGCUGAUGGGCAGGCGAAGUGAUAUAUGUGCAUUAUACGGUUCAAGCGAGCUACGAAGGUAGGAAUGCACUAGUAAAGAAGCACAGCUUCAUUCUGCAAUAAGCUGUGACCAUCAGGGAUGCAUUCGUGGCGCCUUGAGGAUCAUCUGCUGCUGCAUCCAAUUCACUCAUCCAUGCAAAGCAGGACAUCGGGCUUGAAUGCGACAUGAUGCAGUUGCUUUUCUGAACUUGGUGGUCCUCAUUUCAAUAAUGGAAAGCUGGUGAUACGGAACUCACACCAUUGCCAGUGGUCCAUGCGAGUACCGUUGCUACACGGGCUGUGGAUACAUGUUUCCGGUGCAAAAGUUUAGGAUGAAUGCGGAUGAAGUUGCGAGAAGGACAUACGAAGGCCCGGAAUGGGGGAUAUUAAAU
Molecule: non-coding RNA, 1506 nt
Organism: Dermacentor albipictus
Lineage: Eukaryota; Metazoa; Arthropoda; Arachnida; Ixodida; Ixodidae
Source: RefSeq, a predicted model, not a curated record